Molecule: ribosomal RNA, 253 nt
Filed under: uncultured bacterium
Lineage: Bacteria
Description: partial 16S ribosomal RNA
Rfam family: Bacterial small subunit ribosomal RNA
Source: RNAcentral
UACGUAGGGGGCAAGCGUUGUCCGGAUUUAUUGGGCGUAAAGAGCGUGUAGGCGGCCAUACAGGUCAGCUGUGAAAACUCGAGGCUCAACCUCGAGACGUCGGUUGAAACCGUAUGGCUAGAGUCCGGAAGAGGAGAGUGGAAUUCCCGGUGUAGCGGUGAAAUGCGCAGAUAUCGGGAAGAACUCCGGCGGCGAAAGCGGUGCACUGGUGGAUUACUGACGCUGAGGUGCGAAAGCCAGGGGAGCAAACGGG